CCUACGGGAGGCAGCAGUGAGGAAUAUUGGUCAAUGGGCGAGAGCCUGAACCAGCCAAGUCGCGUGAGGGAAGACGGUCCUAUGGAUUGUAAACCUCUUUUGUCGGGGAGCAAAAAGGCCUCGUGAGGCCACAAGUGAGAGUACCCGAAGGAAAAGCAUCGGCUAACUACGUGCCAGCAGCCGCGGUAAUACGGAGGAUGCGAGCGUUAUCCGGAUUUAUGGGGUGUAAAGGGUGCGUAGGGGGACUGGAAAGUCAGCGGUAAAGUCGAGAGGCCCAACCUCUUUCCGCCGUUGAAACUGUCGGUCUUGAGUGGGCGAGAAGUAUGCGGAAUGCGUGGUGUAGCGGUGAAAUGCAUAGAUAUCACGCAGAACUCCGAUUGCGAAGGCAGCAUACCGGCGCCCGACUGACGCUGAGGCACGAAAGCGUGGGUAUCGAACAGGAUUAGAUACCCUUGUAGUC
This 460-nucleotide ribosomal RNA is filed under the name uncultured bacterium. RNAcentral's name for it is "partial 16S ribosomal RNA". It matches the Rfam family "Bacterial small subunit ribosomal RNA", at positions 338 to 795 of the family's 1533-position model. The record is from RNAcentral.